This 1119-nucleotide ribosomal RNA is filed under the name Triticum aestivum (bread wheat). RNAcentral describes it as "partial small subunit ribosomal RNA". The record is from RNAcentral. Lineage: Eukaryota; Viridiplantae; Streptophyta; Magnoliopsida; Poales; Poaceae.
AUGGACAAGUUAAAGGUAGGCAUGAAAAAUGAGUACACAAGGGUAUUUGAUCACCAGCUGGAGUUACUUAGAAGUAAUCCUGGCAGCACAGUUGCAGUGUGUUUGGAUCCUACCAACAAAGUGCAAAAUGUUUUUCAAAGCUUUUAUGUGUGCUUCAAUGCUUUGAAAUUGGGAUUCAAGGCUGGCUGCAGGAAAGUAAUAGGUUUAGAUGGUUGUUUUUUCAAAGGAGCGGUGAAGGGAGAGCUGUCGUGUGCCAUUGCGAGAGAUGCCAAUAACCAAAUGUAUCCAGUGGCUUGGGCAGUUGUUGAGCAGGAAACAAAAGAGAGCUGGAAGUGGUUUGUUGCCUUGCUUAUCAAGGAUCUAGACAUUAACAAUAAUGGAGCUAGCUGGGUCUUCAUUUCUGAUCAGCAAAAGGGUUUGAUUAAUGCCAUGAGGGAUUAUCUGCCAAAUGCAGAGCACAGGCAGUGUGCUAGACAUAUCUAUGCCAAUAGGAAGAAGCAUAGGGCACAUGAAUGGUAGAAAAAAUUCUGGGCAGUGGCCAAAGCAUCUAACAGACAAGAUUUCAACUACUACAAAGCAAAGCUAGCACAAGAAACACGAGAGGGUGCAAAGGAUAUCAUGAACACAGAGCCAGGACACUGGGCAAGAGCAUUUUUUGCAGUUGGUUCUUUCUGUGAGUCAGUUGACAACAACUUGUGUGAAUCUUUCAAUCAUGCCAUCAUUGAAGCAAGGUUCUAUCCCUUAAUCUCAAUGCAAGAGAAGAUCAGAAAGAAAAUUUUAGCUAGAAUUCAGGAACAAAGGGAGAAAGGAGCAAGGUUUCAUGGGAAAAUAUGUCCAAGCAUAUUUAAGAAGUUGAAGAGCAGCAUAGCAAGGACACAGUCCAUGGAGGUGCUCUGGAAUGGCAAAGAUGGCUUUGAAGUGAAAUUAUUAACUGGAAGAAAAAGGCAGUACACAGUCAGCCUUGACAAUAGGACUUGCUCAUGUGGUUAUUUUCAGUUAUAUGGUCUCCCAUGCUCUCAUGCAAUCACUGCUAUCUACAAGUGUGGAAAGAAAGUGGAAGAUUAUAUUGCUCCUUGUUACUUUGUUGAUACCUUCAACAAAAUAUAUGAGCAUUGUUAG